Molecule: non-coding RNA, 159 nt
Filed under: chicken gut metagenome
Description: Lysine riboswitch
Rfam family: Lysine riboswitch aptamer
About the family: Riboswitches are metabolite binding domains within certain messenger RNAs that serve as precision sensors for their corresponding targets. Allosteric rearrangement of mRNA structure is mediated by ligand binding, and this results in modulation of gene expression. This family includes riboswitches that sense lysine in a number of genes involved in lysine metabolism, including lysC.
Source: RNAcentral
AAUGGUAGAGGCGCGGCAAAGAUGAGUAUCCAGGCUUCGGGGCGGGCGGCCCUGCUGGGGAAAGGCUUGGCCGCCGAAGGGCCGUCCCGCCGCCCACGGGGCCGGCUGCCUGGGCUGUGGGAGAAUAUCCCCCAGACUGCCACAUGUGUGGAGCGUUAU